CCCAUAAAAAGUAAAUCCUGCCCAGUGAAAAAUUAAACGGCCGCGGUACCCUAACCGUGCAAAGGUAGCAUAAUCAUUUGCCUAUUAAUUGUAGGCUAGUAUGAACGGGUAAACGAAAUAAAGUCUGUCUCAAUUAGUACACUAAAAAUUAAUAUUUACAUGAAGAAGUGUAAAUAAAAUCGAAGGACAAGAAGACCCUAUAGAGCUUUAUUUUAGCUACAUAUUUUAAUGUAUUAAAAUUCGGUUGGGGCGACCAAGGGAUAUAUAACACCCUAAUUAAUAAAGAUUAAUAAAUCUAUAAAAUGACCCUUAUUUAGAUCACAAGAUCAAGCUACCUUAGGGAUAACAGGCUAAUCCCAUUAGAGAGUCCAUAUCGAUAGUGGGGUUUGGCACCUCGAUGUUGGCUUAGGAUUCCAAUAUAGCGCAAAAGUUAUAUAAUGAUGGUUUGUUCAACCAU
This 457-nucleotide ribosomal RNA is filed under the name Diplotrema sp. Atherton Tableland. RNAcentral describes it as "partial 16S ribosomal RNA". It matches the Rfam family "Bacterial large subunit ribosomal RNA", at positions 1842 to 2588 of the family's 2925-position model. Lineage: Eukaryota; Metazoa; Annelida; Clitellata; Crassiclitellata; Megascolecidae. The record is from RNAcentral.